Heterocephalus glaber (naked mole-rat) is the source of this 2804-nucleotide long non-coding RNA. Lineage: Eukaryota; Metazoa; Chordata; Mammalia; Rodentia; Bathyergidae. The record is from Ensembl.
AUAAAUACUUGCUGCAGUUUAUAUUAGGGUUAGGCCUAUUUUAUUCUGUGUCGGCAGUGAAAUUUUAAGUGUUAUAUGCCUAAACCUAUUGUACCUCCAAGCCUUAUUGUUAUGGCUUACACCUAGAUGUGCCCCCAAAGCCUUGUGUGAUCAUAGGUGGGCUUUGGGGAGUGACUGGCUCACGGCUGAGUGACCCCGGGGUCUUCCACGGACGGUUUAUAGCUGGCUGUGACGCCGGAGAGGAAGCCUGGUGGGAGCAGGCGGGUCAGUGCGGGCGUGGCCCGGAAGGAGGUCUAUGCCUCCCCGCCCUCGAUCCCUCUCUGCUUCCUGCCCUCCCACAGACUGUUUCUCCCCUGCGAUGCCUCUCUGCCAGGCUGCCCUGCCUUGAAGCCAGCUGCUGUGGCCUGAAACCUCUACGAACUGUACUGAAGCAAACCUUUCCUCCUUUAACUUCCGGGUGCCAAGUGUUGUGUCUUAGCAGUGAGAAAAGGAGGCCCAGAACUGCUGCACUGAGACAGACUUAAGGACUGAAUUCACUUGCUGCACACUAGCCUUGUUAUAUCUCCCUGACUUCGAGUAGUCUGUCUUCCAAACUGUGCUAAGUGAAUUUUAGUCACACACACUAAAGUUGUUGAAUUAAAUACUCAUUUCCUCAAAGAACAAAACAUUCAGCCACACCCUUGGGGACAGUGUCCCCAAGUCAUGCUCUGCUCUCCCCGAGUAUCCGUCAGAUAAGACCCACCCCACUCCUGGCUCCAGAACCCUACAGAGAAGAGCCCACUCAGGAUCUAAAAUCCAGAGAGAGGAUGGCUAAGGAAGACGCACCUCUGCUGCAUUAGAACAAAAGAAGCACUUCCAUUUGUGAGUGUGCAUGCACCGUCUCCCGCGGGGGCUCUGCGCUGCUGUCUCCACUCACAGGGCAGGGCCAGCUCCAGGCCUGGGCAGGCAGCAGCUCAAUGCAGCACUGCACCAGGCCCGGGCUCUGCUUCCUGGACACCAGCAGUCUCUCACUGUCUCUGAAGCUUAUGCUGGAGUUCUCCUAAUUGCAUUGAAAACUGAGAAACUGAGGCAGAAAGAGAUUAAGUAAUUUGUCAAAGUCACACAGAUAAAAUUAGGGGCUGGUUCUCAUGGUACUCACAGUCUAUUAAAUAGAGAGGUUUUUGUAUUUUAGCAGAAAAAUUUAAAAUUCCAUUAAAUGUACUAUUAGCCAAAAGCUAGCAAGCAUGUGGGUGAUUGAAAAUUAACUUGAUAUUCAAUUUUCAUUAGGGCACUUGGAGUUAUGUAUUCACCGCCCGUGUCUGUGCCGUUAGUGUUUCUGGUGUCUCAUUAUUUGUCUACAAAAGAAACAUAAUCAGUCUUCUUGUCCAAGUAAUUUUAAUGGACUUUUAGUGAACUAAGCUGGAAUUAUUUUAAAAUGCUCUUAGGAAUGCUAAUAUAACUCCUUUCUAAAAGAAAAAAAGCUGUGAAAUGCAUUAAUGACAAGAAUAAGUGGGUUAACUGACAACUUCGUUGGAACUGGUGUUAAGAAAGCUGAGUGACUUUGUAUUCAGUUUGCAAAAUCGUAGUUUGCCAAGAAUGAGUAAAAUAUAAAAUGUGUGAGAGACCACUUAAUCACUACAGAAAACUUUAAAUUAAGUGCAAUGCUUAGGAACAUACGAUUCAGAAGAUUGCUAAUCUUGUUAAGAAUAUUAUUUUACUAGGCUUAUGUGCAGCAUGAUUGCUACACGGAGCAUUCAGUCAUUGUUGAUGGAACGGGCACGUCCAGAAAGACCACAUCUGUCUUUGGACAUUAAAAUGCUAGUGCUACAUUAUUUAGAUGUUAUAUAAAUAUUAUUUAAAGAGAUCCUUCUUAAGAAACUGUAGUCAUCCAUCAGGAAGAUGUUGUUAGGAGAAUGUAGCUAUAGAAUACAGCUUCCUACAGUUGAAAUUGUCUGGCAUUCCCUCUGGAUUUUUAGUGUAAUGGCAAAGAACCGAAUCAACAAAUAUUAAAUAUCUGAAUAUCUACAGUGUGUGGACAACAAUGCCUGUGGCUUAGUUAACUCUUCCUCACAUUUUUAAAACUGGUUUUUGUUAUUUUCUGUGCUUUUCUGUUAGGAAUUCCCCCAACAUACAUACAUAAAAUACUCUACAUCUCAAUGUAUCACAUUUAUCAUAUCUUUAAUGCCCAUGGGAGGAAGCUUUCUAGCAAGACAGACGUGGCACUGUGUUAGUUUCCUUGGCUGCUGUAAUAAAUUACUGCUAAUGUGGUGGCUUCAAACAAGUCAUCGUCCCGGUGCUGGGGGCGAGAAGUCUGAGGUCGAAGUGCAGAGGGCCUCACUCCUGGUGCCUGCAGACAGAAACACUCCUGGCUCCCACGGCUUCCGGAAGACAUCAGCACCCUUAACUCCCAGCCUCUUGGGCCUGAGCCUCUGCCUGCACGUCCCCUUCUCUGUGUGUGUGUCUCCUCCGGGUUCCUCUUAUUGGGACUCUUGUCAUGGCAUGUAGCACUCAUCCCGUGUGCCAGUCAGCACCACGAGUCAGCGCGGCUGGGUGGAGAUGCCUGUAGAGGUGAGUGGGCCGUGGGGUGCUCUUCUCCUCCAUGGAUCACAGCACUGAGGCUCACAGCUGAGUGCUCUGUUAGGAGUGGGGCCCCAUUGGAGGCGGUCACUGAGGUGUGCCUUGGAGCCUUCUCUGGCUCUCUUGCCCUGUGCUCUGUUUCCCAGUCGCCGUGCACUAGCAGUUCUGCUCCUUCCCACCCUGCCACCAUGAGGUUCCUGCCUUGGAGCCCUGGACUCCACUCAUGGGCUGAGACCUCAAACAAAAAU